AUUCAAGAGGCACAUCCAUUAAACAAGGAUUGAAAC
RNAcentral lists this non-coding RNA (36 nucleotides) under uncultured archaeon. The record is from RNAcentral.